Molecule: transfer RNA, 70 nt
Filed under: Megalops atlanticus (tarpon)
Lineage: Eukaryota; Metazoa; Chordata; Actinopteri; Elopiformes; Megalopidae
Description: tRNA-OTHER
Source: RNAcentral
AGCAGUGUAGCAUAGUGGUAAGGAGCAGGACUCAGAACCCAAAGGUUGCUGGUUCGAUUCCCUGUUGCAA